Molecule: ribosomal RNA, 496 nt
Filed under: uncultured bacterium
Lineage: Bacteria
Description: partial 16S ribosomal RNA
Rfam family: Bacterial small subunit ribosomal RNA
Source: RNAcentral
GAUGAACGCUGGCGGCGUGCCUAAUACAUGCAAGUCGAGCGAACGGACGAGAAGCUUGCUUCUCUGAUGUUAGCGGCGGACGGGUGAGUAACACGUGGAUAACCUACCUAUAAGACUGGGAUAACUUCGGGAAACCGGAGCUAAUACCGGAUAAUAUUUUGAACCGCAUGGUUCAAAAGUGAAAGACGGUCUUGCUGUCACUUAUAGAUGGAUCCGCGCUGCAUUAGCUAGUUGGUAAGGUAACGGCUUACCAAGGCAACGAUGCAUAGCCGACCUGAGAGGGUGAUCGGCCACACUGGAGAUGAGACGCGGUCCAGACUCCUACGGGAGGCAGCAGUGGGAAUCUUCCGCAAUGGGCGAAAGCCUGACGUAGCAACGCCGCGUGAGUGAUGAAGGUCUUCGGAUCGUAAAACUCUGUUAUUAGGGAAGAACAUAUGUGUAAGUAACUGUGCACAUCUUGACGGUACCUAAUCAGAAAGCCACGGCUAACUACGUG